UACGAAGGGGGCGAGCGUUGUUCGGAAUCACUGGGCUUAAAGCGUGCGUAGGCGGACAUAUAAGUCAGAAGUGAAAGCCCGGGGCUUAACCCCGGAACUGCUUUUGAGACUGUAUGUCUAGAAUCCGGUAGGGGCUGAUGGAAUAUCCAGUGUAGAGGUGAAAUUCGCAGAUAUUGGAUAGAACACCAGUGGCGAAGGCGAUCAGCUGGGCCGGUAUUGACGCUGAGGCACGAAAGCGUGGGGAGCAAACAGG
RNAcentral lists this ribosomal RNA (253 nucleotides) under uncultured bacterium. RNAcentral's name for it is "partial 16S ribosomal RNA". It matches the Rfam family "Bacterial small subunit ribosomal RNA", at positions 524 to 776 of the family's 1533-position model. The record is from RNAcentral.